Long non-coding RNA from Syngnathoides biaculeatus (alligator pipefish), 744 nucleotides. RefSeq lists it as uncharacterized. The record is from RefSeq and is a predicted model, not a curated record. The transcript has 5 exons. Lineage: Eukaryota; Metazoa; Chordata; Actinopteri; Syngnathiformes; Syngnathidae.
GGAUUUUGCAUACAGGACUAUCAAGGUCAUGACUUUCUUGGUCGUUGCUCAUGUCACGACACAAACAAAUUUGUCAAAGGCAAUAUGUCAGAUUUCCAAGUUCUUGAAAAGAGACCCGGGUGUGAUCAAACAGAACUGAUUUUUGCUUUGUGUUUAUUCAGUGUAACUAUGACCAAGUCAGACAAUGCCACUGAAAAAAUCUGCAUUAAUACUGAGGGGAGGAUGGCCAAGGCUUUUUUUAGGUGCUGGGAGAGGAUAAACAAAGAUGAGAACCGAAAGAUGGAGUGCAUCGAAAGAAAAAGAAAGGCAGAGUGGCACGAUGGAUCAGCUGGAAAGCGUUGGCCUCACAGUUCUGAGGUCAAGGGUUCGAUCCCGGCCCCGCCUGUGCAGAGUUUGCAUGUUCUCUCACUGCCUGCGUGGGUUUUCUCUGGGUACUUCGGUUUCCUCCCACAUCCCAAAAACAUGCAAUAUUAAUUGGACACUCUAAAUUCCCCCUUUGGUGUGAUUGUGAGUGCGCCUGUUUGUCUUGAUGUGCCCUGCGAUUGGCUGGCAACCAGUUCAGGGUGUACACUGCCUCCUGCCCGUUGACAGCUGGGAUAGGCUCCAGCACGGCACACGACCCUUGAGGAUGAGGAUACGUGGCUAAGAAGAUGGAUGGAUUGAUGGAUAUUUUAUUUUCAUGAUUCAAGGACUUUGUGGAGAGGUGCUUGUUAUAUCGUUGUGUGCACAGUCAUAUAAUAACAA